CCUACGGGAGGCAGCAGUGAGGAAUAUUGGUCAAUGGACGAGAGUCUGAACCAGCCAAGUAGCGUGAAGGAUGACUGCCCUAUGGGUUGUAAACUUCUUUUAUAUGGGAAUAAAAUGAUCCACGUGUGGGUUUUUGUAUGUACCAUAUGAAUAAGGAUCGGCUAACUCCGUGCCAGCAGCCGCGGUAAUACGGAGGAUCCGAGCGUUAUCCGGAUUUAUUGGGUCUAAAGGGAGCGUAGGUGGAUUGUUAAGUCAGUUGUGAAAGUUUGCGGCUCAACCGUAAAAUUGCAGUUGAAACUGGCAGUCUUGAGUACAGUAGAGGUGGGCGGAAUUCGUGGUGUAGCGGUGAAAUGCUUAGAUAUCACGAAGAACUCCGAUUGCGAAGGCAGCUCACUGAACUGCGACUGACACUGAGGCUCGAAAGUGUGGGUAUCAAACAGGAUUAGAUACCCUAGUAGUC
Molecule: ribosomal RNA, 460 nt
Filed under: uncultured bacterium
Lineage: Bacteria
Description: partial 16S ribosomal RNA
Rfam family: Bacterial small subunit ribosomal RNA
Source: RNAcentral